AACGUGUCGCGAUGGAUGACUUGGCUUCCUAUUUCGUUG
RNAcentral lists this ribosomal RNA (39 nucleotides) under Leishmania infantum. RNAcentral describes it as "partial 5.8S ribosomal RNA". The record is from RNAcentral. RNAcentral also lists the same sequence under 1 other name. Lineage: Eukaryota; Euglenozoa; Kinetoplastea; Trypanosomatida; Trypanosomatidae.